RNAcentral lists this ribosomal RNA (498 nucleotides) under uncultured bacterium. Its description in RNAcentral is "partial 16S ribosomal RNA". It matches the Rfam family "Bacterial small subunit ribosomal RNA", at positions 28 to 507 of the family's 1533-position model. The record is from RNAcentral.
GACGAACGCUGGCGGCAUGCCUAACACAUGCAAGUCGAACGGAGAUUCUUUCGGUACUCUUAGUGGCGAACGGGUGAGUAACGCGUGGGCAACCUGCCCUCUAGAUGGGGACAACAUCCCGAAAGGGGUGCUAAUACCGAAUGUGACAGCAAUCUCGCAUGAGGAUGCUGUGAAAGAUGGCCUCUAUUUAUAAGCUAUCGCUAGAGGAUGGGCCUGCGUCUGAUUAGCUAGUUGGUGGGGUAACGGCCUACCAAGGCGAUGAUCAGUAGCCGGUCUGAGAGGAUGAACGGCCACAUUGGGACUGAGACACGGCCCAGACUCCUACGGGAGGCAGCAGUGGGGAAUCUUCCGCAAUGGGCGAAAGCCUGACGGAGCAAUGCCGCGUGAGUGAUGAAGGAAUUCGUUCCGUAAAGCUCUUUUGUUUAUGACGAAUGUGCAGAUUGUGAACAAUGAUCUGUAAUGACGGUAGUAAACGAAUAAGCCACGGCUAACUACGUG